This 465-nucleotide ribosomal RNA is filed under the name uncultured bacterium. RNAcentral's name for it is "bacterial SSU rRNA". It matches the Rfam family "Bacterial small subunit ribosomal RNA", at positions 338 to 795 of the family's 1533-position model. The record is from RNAcentral.
CCUACGGGAGGCACCAGUGGGGAAUAUUGCACAAUGGGCGCAAGCCUGAUGCACCCAUGCCGCGUGUAUGAAGAAGGCCUUCGGGUUGUAAAGUACUUUCAGCGGGGAGGAAGGUGUUGUGGUUAAUAACCACAGCAAUUGACGUUACCAGCAGAAGAAGCACCGGCUAACUCCGUGCCAGCAGCCGCGGUAAUACGGAGGGUGCAAGCGUUAAUCGGAAUUACUGGGCGUAAAGCGCACGCAGGCGGUCUGUCAACUCGGAUGUGAAAUCCCCGGGCUCAACCUGGGAACUACAUUCGAAACUGGCAGGCUAGAGUCUUGUAGAGGGGGGUAGAAUUCCAGGUGUAGCGGUGAAAUGCGUAGAGAUCUGGAGGAAUACCGGUGGCGAAGGCGGCCCCCUGGACAAAGACUGACGCUCAGGUGCGAAAGCGUGGGGAGCAAACAGGAUUUGAUACCCCGGUAGUC